CAGCAGCCGCGGUAAUACGUAGGUGGCAAGCGUUGUCCGGAAUUAUUGGGCGUAAAGGGCUCGCAGGCGGUUUCUUAAGUCUGAUGUGAAAGCCCCCGGCUCAACCGGGGAGGGUCAUUGGAAACUGGGAAACUUGAGUGCAGAAGAGGAGAGUGGAAUUCCACGUGUAGCGGUGAAAUGCGUAGAGAUGUGGAAGAACACCAGUGGCGAAGGCGACUCUCUGGUCUGUAACUGACGCUGAGGAGCGAAAGCGUGGGGAGCGAACAGGAUUAGAUACCCCGGUAGUCCCUGUCUCUUAUAC
This 301-nucleotide ribosomal RNA is filed under the name uncultured bacterium. RNAcentral's name for it is "partial 16S ribosomal RNA". It matches the Rfam family "Bacterial small subunit ribosomal RNA", at positions 509 to 807 of the family's 1533-position model. The record is from RNAcentral.